This 1479-nucleotide ribosomal RNA is filed under the name uncultured prokaryote. Its description in RNAcentral is "partial 16S ribosomal RNA". It matches the Rfam family "Bacterial small subunit ribosomal RNA". The record is from RNAcentral.
GAUGAACGCUAGCGGCAGGCUUAACACAUGCAAGUCGAGGGGCAGCACAGAUUGCUUGCAAUCAGGUGGCGACCGGCGCACGGGUGCUGUAACGCUGUAUACAAUCUACCUUGUAGAGGGGAAUAGCCCAGAGAAAUUUGGAUUAAUGCCCCAUAGUAUUAUCGAUUAGCAUUAAUUGAUAAUUAAAGUUUCGGCGGUAAAAGAUGAGUAUGCGUUCUAUUAGCUAGAUGGUGUGGUAACGGCACACCAUGGCAACGAUAGAUAGGGGCCCUGAGAGGGGGAUCCCCCACACUGGUACUGAGACACGGACCAGACUCCUACGGGAGGCAGCAGUGAGGAAUAUUGGACAAUGGGCGCAAGCCUGAUCCAGCCAUGCCGCGUGCAGGAAGACGGCCCUAUGGGUUGUAAUCUGCUUUUAUACAGGAAGAAACACUCCCUCGUGAGGGAGCUUGACGGUACUGUAAGAAUAAGGACCGGCUAACUCCGUGCCAGCAGCCGCGGUAAUACGGAGGGUCCGAGCGUUAUCCGGAAUCAUUGGGUUUAAAGGGUCCGUAGGCGGGCCAUUAAGUCAGGGGUGAAAGUCUGCGGCUCAACCGUAGAAUUGCCUUUGAUACUGGUGGUCUUGAGUUAUGGUGAAGUGGCUGGAAUAUGUAGUGUAGCGGUGAAAUGCAUAGAUAUUACAUAGAACACCGAUUGCGAAGGCAGGUCACUAACCAUAUACUGACGCUGAUGGACGAAAGCGUGGGGAGCGAACAGGAUUAGAUACCCUGGUAGUCCACGCCGUAAACGAUGGAUACUAGCUGUUCGGUAGCAAUACUGAGUGGCUAAGCGAAAGUGAUAAGUAUCCCACCUGGGGAGUACGUUCGCAAGAAUGAAACUCAAAGGAAUUGACGGGGGCCCGCACAAGCGGUGGAGCAUGUGGUUUAAUUCGAUGAUACGCGAGGAACCUUACCAGGGCUUAAAUGUAGAUUGACAGGGGUGGAAACACCUUUUCCUUCGGGCAAUUUACAAGGUGCUGCAUGGUUGUCGUCAGCUCGUGCCGUGAGGUGUCAGGUUAAGUCCUAUAACGAGCGCAACCCCUGUUGUUAGUUGCCAGCGAGUCAUGUCGGGAACUCUAACAAGACUGCCGGUGCAAACCGUGAGGAAGGUGGGGAUGACGUCAAAUCAUCACGGCCCUUACGUCCUGGGCCACACACGUGCUACAAUGGUAGGUACAGAGAGCAGCCACUGCGUGAGCAGGAGCGAAUCUAUAAAACCUAUCUCAGUUCGGAUCGGAGUCUGCAACUCGACCUCCGUGAAGCUGGAAUCGCUAGUAAUCGGAUAUCAGCCAUGAUCCGGUGAAUACGUUCCCGGGCCUUGUACACACCGCCCGUCAAGCCAUGGAAGCUGGGAGUACCUGAAGUCCGUCACCGUAAGGAGCGGCCUAGGGUAAAAUCGGUAACUAGGGCUAAGUCGUAACAAGGUAGCCGUACCGGAAGG